Molecule: ribosomal RNA, 523 nt
Filed under: Klebsiella pneumoniae
Lineage: Bacteria; Pseudomonadati; Pseudomonadota; Gammaproteobacteria; Enterobacterales; Enterobacteriaceae
Description: partial 23S ribosomal RNA
Rfam family: Bacterial large subunit ribosomal RNA
Source: RNAcentral
GGCUUUGAAGCGUGGACGCCAGUCUGCGUGGAGCCAACCUUGAAAUACCACCCUUUAAUGUUUGAUGUUCUAACGUUGGCCCCUGACCGGGGUUGCGGACAGUGUCUGGGGGGUAGUUUGACUGGGGCGGUCUCCUCCCAAAGCGUAACGGAGGAGCACGAAGGGUAGCUAAUCCUGGUCGGACAUCAGGAGGUUAGUGCAAUGGCAUAAGCUAGCUUGACUGCGAGCGUGACGGCGCGAGCAGGUGCGAAAGCAGGUCAUAGUGAUCCGGUGGUUCUGAAUGGAAGGGCCAUCGCUCAACGGAUAAAAGGUACUCCGGGGAUAACAGGCUGAUACCGCCCAAGAGUUCAUAUCGACGGCGGUGUUUGGCACCUCGAUGUCGGCUCAUCACAUCCUGGGGCUGAAGUAGGUCCCAAGGGUAUGGCUGUUCGCCAUUUAAAGUGGUACGCGAGCUGGGUUUAGAACGUCGUGAGACAGUUCGGUCCCUAUCUGCCGUGGGCGCUGGAGAAUUGAGGGGGGCUGC